This 257-nucleotide long non-coding RNA is filed under the name Ananas comosus (pineapple). Its description in RNAcentral is "long non-coding RNA (ACOM_LNC035601)". The record is from RNAcentral. Lineage: Eukaryota; Viridiplantae; Streptophyta; Magnoliopsida; Poales; Bromeliaceae.
UUCCAGUGGGACCUUGUCUUGAAUUAAAAAUAUUUUUUCUUAAGCUUAGUUUGGUAUUGAGAUCCAUCUAACGCUAUUAAAUAAAAUAGAAUUAGAGUAAAAGUAUAUAGGAAUAUACUUCUGCUUUUUCCGAUGUAACCGCAGAAAAUAUAUCGUAGCUAACUCAUUGCGAUAUACGGAACACAAUAUUACGUACAGAAAUAAACAGUAUAUUUUUCCAAACAAGCCUUAGUAAGCAUGACAUCAAAAAUUAUAAA